Molecule: ribosomal RNA, 495 nt
Filed under: uncultured bacterium
Lineage: Bacteria
Description: bacterial SSU rRNA
Rfam family: Bacterial small subunit ribosomal RNA
Source: RNAcentral
GGCUCAGGAUGAACGCUAGCGGCAAGCUUAAUACAUGCAAGUCGAGGGGCAGCAUGACUGUAGCAAUACAGUUGAUGGCGACCGGCAAACGGGUGCGGAACACGUACAGAACCUUCCUUCGAGCGGGGAAUAGCCCAGAGAAAUUUGGAUUAAUACCCCAUAGUAUAUUGGAGUGGCAUCACUUUGAUAUUAAAGAUUUAUCACUUGAAGAUGGCUGUGCGGCUGAUUAGAUAGUUGGCGGGGUAACGGCCCACCAAGUCUGCGAUCAGUAACUGGUGUGAGAGCACGACCAGUCACACGGGCACUGAGACACGGGCCCGACUCCUACGGGAGGCAGCAGUAAGGAAUAUUGGUCAAUGGACGAAAGUCUGAACCAGCUAUGCCGCGUGGAGGAUGAAGGCCCUCUGGGUUGUAAACUUCUUUUAUAUGGGACGAAAAAGGGCCUUUCUAGGUCAACUGACGGUACCAUGUGAAUAAGCACCGGCUAACUCCGUG